Molecule: ribosomal RNA, 200 nt
Filed under: uncultured Glomus
Lineage: Eukaryota; Fungi; Glomeromycota; Glomeromycetes; Glomerales; Glomeraceae
Description: partial small subunit ribosomal RNA
Rfam family: Eukaryotic small subunit ribosomal RNA
Source: RNAcentral
CCAAUAGCGUAUAUUAAAGUUGUUGCAGUUAAAAAGCUCGUAGUUGAAUUUCGGGGUUAGUAGGUUGGUCAUGCCUCUGGUAUGUACUGGUCUCACUGAUUCCUCCUUCCUUAUGAACCGUAAUGCCAUUAAUUUGGUGUUGCGGGGAAUUUGGACUGUUACUUUGAAAAAAUUAGAGUGUUUAAAGCAAGCUAACGCUU